Molecule: ribosomal RNA, 468 nt
Filed under: uncultured bacterium
Lineage: Bacteria
Description: partial 16S ribosomal RNA
Rfam family: Bacterial small subunit ribosomal RNA
Source: RNAcentral
GACGAACGCUGGCGGCGUGCUUAACACAUGCAAGUCGAACGGUAAGGCCCUGCUUUUGUGGGGUGUUCGAGUGGCGAACGGGUGAGAAACACGUGAGUAACCCGCCCAUGUCUUUGGGAUAACUGCAAGAAACUGGGGCAAAUACCAGAUAGGAGUCCCCCCUGCAUGGGGGGGGUUGGAAAGUUUCGGCGGUUGGGGAUGGACUCGCGGCUUAUCAGCUUGUUGGUGGGGUAGUGGCUCACCAAGGCCUUGACGGGUAGCCGGCCUGAGAGGGUGACCGGCCACAUUGGGACUGAGAUACGGCCCAGACUCCUACGGGAGGCAGCAGUGGGGAAUAUUGCACAAUGGGCGGAAGCCUGAUGCAGCAACGCCGCGUGCGGGAUGACGGCCUUCGGGUUGUAAACCGCUUUCGCCUGGGACGAAGCGUGAGUGACGGUAAUUGGAGAAGAAGCACCGGCUAACUACGUG